RNAcentral lists this ribosomal RNA (423 nucleotides) under uncultured bacterium. RNAcentral describes it as "bacterial SSU rRNA". It matches the Rfam family "Bacterial small subunit ribosomal RNA", at positions 207 to 622 of the family's 1533-position model. The record is from RNAcentral.
AAGACCUUGCGCCUUUGGAGCGGCCGAUGUCUGAUUAGCUUGUUGGUGAGGUAAAGGCUUACCAAGGCUUCGAUCAGUAGCUGGUCUGAGAGGACGGCCAGCCACACUGGGACUGAGACACGGCCCAGACUCCUACGGAAGGCAGCAGUGGGGAAUUUUGGACAAUGGGGGCAACCCUGAUCCAGCCAUGCCGCGUGAGUGAAGAAGGCCUUCGGGUUGUAAAGCUCUUUCAGCCGGAACGAAACGGUUACGAUUAAUACCCGUAACUACUGACGGUACCGGAAGAAGAAGCACCGGCUAACUACGUGCCAGCAGCCGCGGUAAUACGUAGGGUGCGAACGUUAAUCGGAAUUACUGGGCGUAAAGCGUGCGCAGGUGGUUUUGUAAGUCAGAUGUGAAAUCCCCGGGCUUAACCUGGGAACU